Molecule: non-coding RNA, 96 nt
Organism: Mycena metata
Lineage: Eukaryota; Fungi; Basidiomycota; Agaricomycetes; Agaricales; Mycenaceae
Source: the annotation of a GenBank genome assembly
GCCUCCGUGGAUCAAUGUAGAUCACCUCGAGAAUGUUCGAGAGGAACAUUGACGAAGAUUAAGGAGGAGAUGUGGGUUCGAGUCCCACCGGAGGCA